GACGAACGCUGGCGGCGUGGUUAGACAUGCAAGUCGAACGAGAAGCUCCCUUCGGGGAGUGGAGAGUGGCGCACGGGUGAGUAACACGUGAGCAACCUGCCGGGAAGCCCGGGAUAGCCCUCCGAAAGGAGGAUUAAUACCGGAUGUGGCCACCCUGCGAUUGCAGGUGAAGCUAAAGGAUUUAUUCACUUCCCGAGGGGCUCGCGGCCCAUCAGCUUGUUGGUGAGGGUAACGGCCCACCAAUGCGACAACGGGUAGCUGGUCUGAGAGGAUGGUCAGCCACACUGGAACUGAGACACGGUCCAGACACUUACGGGUGGCAGCAGUCGAGAAUCAUUCGCAAUGGGGGAAACCCUGACGAUGCGACGCCGCGUGGAGGAUGAAGGCCUUAGGGUUGUAAACUCCUGUCAAGAGGGAAUAAGCAAGUGAAGGUACCUCUAGAGGAAGGGGCGGCUAAUUCCGUGCCAGCAGCCGCGGUAACACGGAAGCCCCGAGCGUUGUUCGGAUUCAUUGGGCGUAAAGGGUGCGUAGGCGGCGCGGAAAGUCCGGCGUGAAAGGCAGGGGCUCAACCUCUGGACUGCGUUGGAUACUUCCGUGCUUGAGGACUGGAGGGGAGACUGGAAUUCACGGUGUAGCAGUGAAAUGCGUAGAUAUCGUGAGGAAGACCGGUGGCGAAGGCGAGUCUCUGGACAGAUCCUGACGCUGAGGCACGAAGGCUGGGGGAGCGAACAGGAUUAGAUACCCUGGUAGUCCCAGCAGUAAACGAUGUGAGCUUGAUGUGGGGGGAUU
This 789-nucleotide ribosomal RNA is filed under the name uncultured organism. Its description in RNAcentral is "bacterial SSU rRNA". It matches the Rfam family "Bacterial small subunit ribosomal RNA", at positions 28 to 832 of the family's 1533-position model. The record is from RNAcentral.